AGAGAGAGACAUGCGCGCAUAUCAAUAAGCGGAGGAAAAGAAACUAACUAGGAUUCCCUCAGUAACGGCGAGUGAAGCGGGAAGAGCUCAAAUUUGAAAUCUUCAAGGUUCUACCUUGACGAAUUGUAGUUUAAAGAAGUGUUUUCUGUUGAAGUUUUGGUAAAAGUUCUUUGGAAUAGGACAUCAUAGAGGGUGAGAAUCCCGUAUUUGACCAUUAUUUCCAGCUUUGUGAUACACUUUCAAAGAGUCGGAUUGUUUGGGAAUGCAGUCCAAAAUGGGUGGUAAAUUUCAUCUAAAGCUAAAUACUGGCGAGAGACCGAUAGCGAACAAGUACCGUGAGGGAAAGAUGAAAAGAACUUUGAAAAGAGAGUUAAACAGUACGUGAAAUUGUCAAAAGGGAAGCGUUUGACACCAGUGUUGUUUUCUCGAAAAUCAAUUAAAAAAGGCAGGAUUUUGUGUUGUAUUGACUUUAUCAGCUUUCUGCACUCUUUUCUUGUCUUUUUUUAAUGCACUUUUCGUUUAACAAGUCAACAUCAAUUUCUUUUGUUGUAAAAGGGUCAUUGGAAGGUGGCUUUCUUUUCGGAGAAAGUGUUUAUAGCCUUUGGCCUCUGCAAUCGGAGAGAUUGAGGUCUGCAGCGUAGAUCCUUCGGGGUUAGAUACAUUUGUGCUAAGUUAUAGCCUUUCAUAGACAACUUGUUGACUAUGAUCAGUCAUGUAGCUUACUCGCUUACUGCUAUUUUACCUACGCUUAGGAUGUUGAUGUGAUACUGCGAGCA
RNAcentral lists this ribosomal RNA (776 nucleotides) under uncultured Neocallimastigales. RNAcentral describes it as "partial large subunit ribosomal RNA". It matches the Rfam family "Eukaryotic large subunit ribosomal RNA", at positions 23 to 646 of the family's 3401-position model. Lineage: Eukaryota; Fungi; Neocallimastigomycota; Neocallimastigomycetes; Neocallimastigales. The record is from RNAcentral.